CCUACGGGAGGCAGCAGUGGGGAAUAUUGGACAAUGGGCGAAAGCCUGAUCCAGCAAUGCCGCGUGAGUGAUGAAGGCCCUAGGGUUGUAAAGCUCUUUUACCAGGGAUGAUAAUGACAGUACCUGGAGAAUAAGCUCCGGCUAACUCCGUGCCAGCAGCCGCGGUAAUACGGAGGGAGCUAGCGUUGUUCGGAAUUACUGGGCGUAAAGCGUGCGUAGGCGGUGACUCAAGUCAGAGGUGAAAGCCUGGAGCUCAACUCCAGAACUGCCUUUGAAACUAGGUCGCUAGAAUCACGGAGAGGUGAGUGGAAUUCCGAGUGUAGAGGUGAAAUUCGUAGAUAUUCGGAAGAACACCAGUGGCGAAGGCGGCUCACUGGACGUGUAUUGACGCUGAGGCACGAAAGCGUGGGGAGCAAACAGGAUUAGAUACCCUGGUAGUCCACGCCGUAAACGAUGAUAACUAGCUGCCAGGGCUCUUAGAGCUUUGGUGGCGCAGCUAACGCAUUAAGUUAUCCGCCUGGGGGUACGUCGCAAGNUUAAAACUCAAAUGAAUUGACGG
RNAcentral lists this ribosomal RNA (559 nucleotides) under uncultured bacterium. RNAcentral's name for it is "bacterial SSU rRNA". It matches the Rfam family "Bacterial small subunit ribosomal RNA", at positions 338 to 916 of the family's 1533-position model. The record is from RNAcentral.